GACGAACGCUGGCGGCGUGCCUAAUACAUGCAAGUAGAACGCUGAAGGAGGAGCUUGCUUCUCCGGAUGAGUUGCGAACGGGUGAGUAACGCGUAGGUAACCUGCCUGGUAGCGGGGGAUAACUAUUGGAAACGAUAGCUAAUACCGCAUAACAGUAGAUAUUGCAUGAUAUCUGCUUGAAAGGUGCAAUUGCAUCACUACCAGAUGGACCUGCGUUGUAUUAGCUAGUUGGUGAGGUAACGGCUCACCAAGGCGACGAUACAUAGCCGACCUGAGAGGGUGAUCGGCCACACUGGGACUGAGACACGGCCCAGACUCCUACGGGAGGCAGCAGUAGGGAAUCUUCGGCAAUGGACGGAAGUCUGACCGAGGAACGCCGCGUGAGUGAAGAAGGUUUUCGGAUCGUAAAGCUCUGUUGUAAGAGAAGAACGAGUGUGUGAGUGGAAAGUUCACACUGUGACGGUAUCUUACCAGAAAGGGACGGCUAACUACGUG
RNAcentral lists this ribosomal RNA (495 nucleotides) under uncultured bacterium. RNAcentral's name for it is "partial 16S ribosomal RNA". It matches the Rfam family "Bacterial small subunit ribosomal RNA", at positions 28 to 507 of the family's 1533-position model. The record is from RNAcentral.